Molecule: ribosomal RNA, 293 nt
Filed under: Salmonella enterica subsp. enterica serovar Infantis
Lineage: Bacteria; Pseudomonadati; Pseudomonadota; Gammaproteobacteria; Enterobacterales; Enterobacteriaceae
Description: partial 23S ribosomal RNA
Rfam family: Bacterial large subunit ribosomal RNA
Source: RNAcentral
GUUCACUUUAACACUGAGGCGUGAUGACGAGGCACUACGGUGCUGAAGCAACAAAUGCCCUGCUUCCAGGAAAAGCCUCUAAGCAUCAGGUAACAUCAAAUCGUACCCCAAACCGACACAGGUGGUCAGGUAGAGAAUACCAAGGCGCUUGAGAGAACUCGGGUGAAGGAACUAGGCAAAAUGGUGCCGUAACUUCGGGAGAAGGCACGCUGACACGUAGGUGAAGUGAUUUACUCAUGGAGCUGAAGUCAGUCGAAGAUACCAGCUGGCUGCAACUGUUUAUUAAAAACACA